RNAcentral lists this ribosomal RNA (468 nucleotides) under uncultured bacterium. RNAcentral's name for it is "partial 16S ribosomal RNA". It matches the Rfam family "Bacterial small subunit ribosomal RNA", at positions 28 to 507 of the family's 1533-position model. The record is from RNAcentral.
GACGAACGCUGGCGGCGUGCUUAACACAUGCAAGUCGAACGGAAAGGCCCUGCUUUUGUGGGGUGCUCGAGUGGCGAACGGGUGAGUAACACGUGAGUAACCUGCCCUUGACUUUGGGAUAACUUCAGGAAACUGGGGCUAAUACCGGAUAGGAGCUCCUGCUGCAUGGUGGGGGUUGGAAAGUUUCGGCGGUGGGGGAUGGACUCGCGGCUUAUCAGCUUGUUGGUGGGGUAGUGGCUUACCAAGGCUUUGACGGGUAGCCGGCCUGAGAGGGUGACCGGCCACCUUGGGACUAAGAGACGGAGCAGACGGCUACGGGAGGCAGCAGGGGGGAAUAUUGCGCAAUGAGCGGAAGCCUGAUGCAGAAACGCCGCGUGCGGGAUGACGGCCUUCGGGUUAUAAACCGCUGUCGCCUGUGACGAAGCGUGAGUGACGGUAAUGGGUAAAGAAGCACCGGCUAACUACGUG